RNAcentral lists this ribosomal RNA (1702 nucleotides) under Salmonella enterica. RNAcentral describes it as "partial 23S ribosomal RNA". It matches the Rfam family "Bacterial large subunit ribosomal RNA", at positions 1118 to 2802 of the family's 2925-position model. Lineage: Bacteria; Pseudomonadati; Pseudomonadota; Gammaproteobacteria; Enterobacterales; Enterobacteriaceae. The record is from RNAcentral.
AUCAUUUAAAGAAAGCGUAAUAGCUCACUGGUCGAGUCGGCCUGCGCGGAAGAUGUAACGGGGCUAAACCAUGCACCGAAGCUGCGGCAGCGACACUCAGGUGUUGUUGGGUAGGGGAGCGUUCUGUAAGCCUGUGAAGGUGGCCUGUGAGGGUUGCUGGAGGUAUCAGAAGUGCGAAUGCUGACAUAAGUAACGAUAAAGCGGGUGAAAAGCCCGCUCGCCGGAAGACCAAGGGUUCCUGUCCAACGUUAAUCGGGGCAGGGUGAGUCGACCCCUAAGGCGAGGCCGAAAGGCGUAGUCGAUGGGAAACGGGUUAAUAUUCCCGUACUUGGUGUUACUGCGAAGGGGGGACGGAGAAGGCUAUGUUGGCCGGGCGACGGUUGUCCCGGUUUAAGCGUAUAGGUGUGUGUUCCAGGUAAAUCCGGUUCACUUUAACACUGAGGCGUGAUGACGAGGCGCUACGGUGCUGAAGCAACAAAUGCCCUGCUUCCAGGAAAAGCCUCUAAGCAUCAGGUAACAUCAAAUCGUACCCCAAACCGACACAGGUGGUCAGGUAGAGAAUACCAAGGCGCUUGAGAGAACUCGGGUGAAGGAACUAGGCAAAAUGGUGCCGUAACUUCGGGAGAAGGCACGCUGACAUGUAGGUGAAGUGAUUUACUCAUGGAGCUGAAGUCAGUCGAAGAUACCAGCUGGCUGCAACUGUUUAUUAAAAACACAGCACUGUGCAAACACGAAAGUGGACGUAUACGGUGUGACGCCUGCCCGGUGCCGGAAGGUUAAUUGAUGGGGUCAGCGCAAGCGAAGCUCCUGAUCGAAGCCCCGGUAAACGGCGGCCGUAACUAUAACGGUCCUAAGGUAGCGAAAUUCCUUGUCGGGUAAGUUCCGACCUGCACGAAUGGCGUAAUGAUGGCCAGGCUGUCUCCACCCGAGACUCAGUGAAAUUGAACUCGCUGUGAAGAUGCAGUGUACCCGCGGCAAGACGGAAAGACCCCGUGAACCUUUACUAUAGCUUGACACUGAACAUUGAGCCUUGAUGUGUAGGAUAGGUGGGAGGCUUUGAAGUGUGGACGCCAGUCUGCAUGGAGCCGACCUUGAAAUACCACCCUUUAAUGUUUGAUGUUCUAACGUGGACCCGUAAUCCGGGUUGCGGACAGUGUCUGGUGGGUAGUUUGACUGGGGCGGUCUCCUCCUAAAGAGUAACGGAGGAGCACGAAGGUUGGCUAAUCCUGGUCGGACAUCAGGAGGUUAGUGCAAUGGCAUAAGCCAGCUUGACUGCGAGCGUGACGGCGCGAGCAGGUGCGAAAGCAGGUCAUAGUGAUCCGGUGGUUCUGAAUGGAAGGGCCAUCGCUCAACGGAUAAAAGGUACUCCGGGGAUAACAGGCUGAUACCGCCCAAGAGUUCAUAUCGACGGCGGUGUUUGGCACCUCGAUGUCGGCUCAUCACAUCCUGGGGCUGAAGUAGGUCCCAAGGGUAUGGCUGUUCGCCAUUUAAAGUGGUACGCGAGCUGGGUUUAGAACGUCGUGAGACAGUUCGGUCCCUAUCUGCCGUGGGCGCUGGAGAACUGAGGGGGGCUGCUCCUAGUACGAGAGGACCGGAGUGGACGCAUCACUGGUGUUCGGGUUGUCAUGCCAAUGGCACUGCCCGGUAGCUAAAUGCGGAAGAGAUAAGUGCUGAAAGCAUCUAAGCACGAAACUUGCCCCGA